UUCAAAUUCCUCUUUGUUGGUGAUGGGAAAAGAGGAUGGAAGCCAUAUGGACAGACUCAGAGGAGAGGGUAAAGUGACCAGGAGAAGCCCACAGAGAUCUUUCCCAAAGGAUGAGUGAGAUGAAACUGAAGGAAUGAACUCCCAUUGCCUUCUUCCUUCUGUGGACAGUGAAUACACAGACUUAAAAAAAAAUACAAAAAAAAGAUGUGUUUUGCUUGAAGUGAUGGUGCCUCCAAAUGCCCCCAUGAAGUCAGUUUUCCAGAUUAAAGCAUCAGGUAUGUAGAAACCAAAGCAGCUCCAGAAGCUGCUGAACAGCAAAAGGUAUGGCUGUGAGAAUCCGCUGUGUCACUGCAUGAGAGUUCAUUCUUCUGGUUUGCAAGACAAAUGCUGGGUCUGAAGGGAAUCAUUACAUACAGCCAAACAGGAGAAAAGAGAAAGCUAUAUCUGCCCUGCGUACAUGUAUGAGUACUGACCAUGUAAGCACCUGCUUGAAAUGCC
RNAcentral lists this long non-coding RNA (498 nucleotides) under Gallus gallus (chicken). Lineage: Eukaryota; Metazoa; Chordata; Aves; Galliformes; Phasianidae. The record is from RNAcentral.